Triticum dicoccoides is the source of this 983-nucleotide long non-coding RNA. RefSeq lists it as uncharacterized. The transcript has 5 exons. The record is from RefSeq and is a predicted model, not a curated record. Lineage: Eukaryota; Viridiplantae; Streptophyta; Magnoliopsida; Poales; Poaceae.
GCAAUCUUCUACCUUUCCCUCUCCCUCGUCUGCCUGCCUGCCUGCCUCCCACCCACAUAGCCGCCGCCGCCGUUGAUUCGGUGCCCCUCUUCCCCACCGCCACCGCCACUGCCCCCACCCUCUCCCUAUCCCCUCACCUUCUCUCCCUAACCUAGACGGGGCACCAGAACGGGCAGUCCAUGGGGCUUCCAGAUCCGUGGAGGAGCGCCGGAGGUCGCGCGCCGCCCGCCGUGCGGUUUUGCGCUACGGCCGGCCGGCCGUCGUCUCCGCCACGGUCGUCCUCUUCCUCCUCUGCUCCACCGCGUACAUCGACGGCGCCGCCGUGGCCGACCUCGAGCCUUUUCGCCUUCUCCUCGUCUGACGCGGAGGUGCUCUUACCCGACCUCGCCGCCGGGCCAAGGAAACCCCACCCCGCCGCGAGCUUUUCAUCCCUCAGGUCCUGCAAAAGCGUGCUCAAAGGCAUGCCACCUAGUUGUGGAAGAGCUGGUUAAGGAGUGGGAGCUCCCUUUUGUGGCCCAGCUCACAUCGACACACAGCCCCCUCCCUGCUUCCUCUGCGUCUCCGAUGGCUGCUUCUUCUUCGACUCCGGCAUAGAAAAUGGAGCUGAUUCUUUGAGGUCAUCCAGCUUUCUACAACAUCGACAGUGGUGGCCGCCUCUUCCUCGUUUCAGGCAAAUGCAUGGUUACACAAAGGGCCCUGCUGCUUCCUGCAGGAAUUUGGUCGUCUUGGUCCUCCACGGCGAGUUGGACUUUAUUUAAGUACUAUGCUCAUCCUUUCUACCACAACAUGUACAAGGAAUACCGUGACACCACCCCCGUCAAGGAGAUGUACAGAGAUGGCUUCCCGUCACUGCCAGAUCCCCCUGCAUCCAGAUCAUCAAGACUGCCACUGUCCACUUGAGCAUCUGCAAGCGUCAUAACACUAAGCAGUUUCACAAGUCAGACAUCAGGUUCCCGCUGGUCUACCAGAAGGCCGAGCAGCCA